AGAGUUUGAUCCUGGCUCAGGACGAACGCUGGCGGCGUGCUUAACACAUGCAAGUCACGGGGGCUCGCAAGGGCAACCGGCGAACGGGUGCGUAACACGUGAGCAAUCUGCCGAUCUCUGGGGGAUAGCCGGCCCAACGGCCGGGUAAUACCGCAUACGCUCAUCGGGGGGAUUCCCCUGGUGAGGAAACCUCCGGGGGAGAUCGAGGAGCUCGCGACCUAUCAGCUAGUUGGCGGGGUAACGGCCCACCAAGGCAGCGACGGGUAGCUGGUCUGAGAGGAUGGCCAGCCACAUUGGGACUGCGACACGGCCCAGACUCCUACGGGAGGCAGCAGUGGGGAAUAUUGCGCAAUGGACGAAAGUCUGACGCAGCGACGCCGCGUGUGGGAUGACGCCUUUCGGGGUGUAAACCACUGUUGCCCGGGACGAAACUCUCCUUUCGAGGAGAUUGACGGUACCGGGUGAGGAAGCACCGGCUAACUCUGUGCCAGCAGCCGCGGUAAUACAGAGGGUGCGAGCGUUGUCCGGAAUCACUGGGCGUAAAGGGCGCGUAGGUGGCGAGAUAAGCGUGUGGUGAAAGCCCGGGGCUCAACCCCGUGUCUGCCAUGCGGACUGUUUCGCUCGAGCGUAGUAGAGGCAGGUGGAAUUCCGGGUGUAGCGGUGGAAUGCAGAGAUCCGGAAGAACACCGGUGGCGAAGGCGGCCUGCUGGGCUACUGCUGACACUGAGGCGCGACAGCGUGGGGAGCAAACAGGAUUAGAUACCCUAGUAGUCC
RNAcentral lists this ribosomal RNA (774 nucleotides) under uncultured bacterium. RNAcentral's name for it is "bacterial SSU rRNA". It matches the Rfam family "Bacterial small subunit ribosomal RNA", at positions 8 to 796 of the family's 1533-position model. The record is from RNAcentral.